Long non-coding RNA from Ceratitis capitata (Mediterranean fruit fly), 612 nucleotides. RefSeq lists it as uncharacterized. The transcript is spliced from 3 exons. Lineage: Eukaryota; Metazoa; Arthropoda; Insecta; Diptera; Tephritidae. The record is from RefSeq and is a predicted model, not a curated record.
UCAACACGGGACGUGAGGAUUGCUACUAAAUCUCUUCGCUUGCAGUCUUACUUUUGAAUCUGACUUCAUACAAGGAACAUUUAAGUCUAAUGGUUAAUUAGGGGCUCGAUCGCAUAAAAAUUGCUCACGUUCAAGGGUGUGCACCAAGAAGCAAAAGUACAAAUUGAUCUUUGAGUUUUACAGGGAGAGGAGCAGGCCUUGAUCCCAAAGUAAAAUUAAAAUAUUUAAUUCAUAUAUGUUCAUACAUAUAUACUCGUGUAUGCUUUUAUUUACACCCCUAUGUGUUCUCGGCUUUUCUUAAUAGAAAUUCAUCUAAAUUAAAAAAUUGGAAAACGCUUCGAUAAAGUAUGUCAAUCCACUCAAGAAGGGUUCCCAUCGUGAAUACAGUGGCUAAACUGCAAGUCAAGAGGGAAAACACGCCCACACCGAUUACAGCAAAUCCGAGAAGCUAAAAGUGGUAAUUUGGGUUAGAAAAUGUAAGGAAAUGAGAAUUCAAUGCAAUACUCACGCCUUGCAACAAAUACACGUGGCCAAAUUUUGCUUGCUUUGCUACCUUCGGUGUAUUCUUUUCGGCUUCCAAUUGUUUUGAUAAAUGGAAUAAGGCGAUUACAG